This is a long non-coding RNA of Scylla paramamosain (green mud crab), 1134 nucleotides long. RefSeq lists it as uncharacterized. The record is from RefSeq and is a predicted model, not a curated record. The transcript has 2 exons. NCBI's taxonomy places the organism in Eukaryota, Metazoa, Arthropoda, Malacostraca, Decapoda, Portunidae.
AGUUUCCUCUCAGCAGUCGUGGUGUGAAGACUCAACAAUUCUCUUGGCUCGCUCCUCAAUGAAAACUGAAACUGACUCGAGAAAGUUUUAACUUAUUCGGCAACAACCUCUGUGUUUCUUCGUCCUGUAAGAGAAGCUGAGUUACAGACACACUUCCUGAAAAUAAGAAAGCAUUUUCAUAAAUAGAAAGUCUGCAUUAGAAGCUACAUAAAGUUCUGCAAGACAACAUGCAUUAGAGUGAUCAAGUGACCGCCAGUACCAGUGUAAAGAAACUAUGAAGUAAGAAUAUUUAUCCACAGAGGAGACAGCCGUUACUGUUCGGGAAGACCCAGAGAGGGAUUUUAUUAUUGAGCCAAGAAAAACAAGAGUGGAGUGCGAUAGAAGCAUCCCGGUGUAGCAUAAGUGAAGCAGGGCGAUAAGAGUGACAAGUGCCGAGGAGAGGAAGUGUUCAGACUCAUGUGGCCAAGAUGCAGAGUGCUCUAAAUUGAUGGCAAGUGCUUUGGCGCCAAGAUCAUUUAGCCAAGCCAAGUCUCUCAGCGGACUGUGUAUAGCGUGUGCAUUUGUACUGUUUCUUCUCACAGUGGAAGACAGAAACAUUGGUGCAGCAGCUGUUACAAGUUGGCACCGCAACGACUAUGGUCUAGGGCAAGUCAGGAGCUUCGCUUUGAGGGAUUGCAGUUCCGGCAGAGAGGAGCAGCAGGACAGGCGCGCAGAUGGCUGGCGGCCCAGUGGCCUCGCCUCGCACACGUACGGAUAUAACCUCAUUAUUGUCUAGGAAAAAGUUCCCACCGUCUGUACGUACUUUACAUUCCCUGAUUACUUAAGGAUACAUCUUGGUCAUAUUCAAUUGAGUGGUACUCUCGGAACAAGUACAUUUAUGAUAUCUUAAAUAUGCACUUGCAUGGAAAGCGAGUCUGAGUUUUGACAGAUGCCUGACACGUGCUGCAGCAGCUGGCUCUGAGGCGAGGAAAACCACCUGCUCUCCACUCACGCCGCCGCCCCGCAGCAGGGAGGGAGGCCCCGGCGAGCACCACAGGUAGCAUUUGUCUUUGCCAGGUGACAGUAGCCUCAAGGGGCAGGUGUCAUCUCAUUAGUCAGUGUUAUUUUUUAUUAUCUAUUAAAUAAACAACAAAG